This 262-nucleotide unclassified non-coding RNA is filed under the name plant metagenome. Its description in RNAcentral is "partial contains small subunit ribosomal RNA, internal transcribed spacer 1, and 5.8S ribosomal RNA". The record is from RNAcentral.
UUUCCGUAGGUGAACCUGCGGAAGGAUCAUUAUUGUAUAACCGAGGUGCGAGGGCUGUCGCUGACCCGAAAGGUCGUGCACACCCGAGUGCCUCACACACAUCCAUCUCACCCCUAUGUGCACCACCGCGUGGGUCCCCCUUUGGCUUGUUCGGAGGGGGGCUUACGUUUUCACACAAACUUUGUAUGCAGUGUAGAAUGUAUUUUUUGUUUUUGCGAUCACGCAAUCAAUACAACUUUCAACAACGGAUCUCUUGGCUCUC